UGCAAGUCAAUUUAGUUUCAUAUCAUUCGUUCGCCUGCUAUCGUUCAACCAUCAGCCACAGAGGACUGUGAUUUAAUUACUCCGAACAUUAUCGAAACGAAAUGAAGACCUGCACCUACUUGCUAGCCGUCUUGGUGAUGGUGUUCACCAUCUGUGAGGCAAGGCGUUUAGGCCAAGUCAGGGAAGCAAGAAUAUGUACAUGUGUGGUGAGAUGCUGCCCAAACACUUUCGAGGUCACCCCACAGCGGGCUAGACGGGACGUCUCCAACGGAUUCCCUCUUGAUGCCCCUUACAUACGACACAAGCGCUGCUGUGGGUGCAUCGACUGCCACAGACCGCACUCGUAGGCCUGAUGCCAUGGUGGUUUAGUUGUGUGCCUGGUUUGGUUCAAGGAGCGGUCAUAUCAGGGACCAUCCCCCGUGCGUAGGACUGCAACUCUAUCUAAUGGCGGCGUCGUAUAUGGCUGCGACGAGACAUUUUCAUCAUUAUAAGACUUUUAGGGCCUCUAGUCACGCGUAUGUUUGGGAUACGAUUAAAAUGAUACAAGUUGACACUGUUUAAUUGUUUCCCCAACGUGAGUACGAAUCCGUGGCCGUGAUGGAAACGCAACAGGUACUUGUUCAGUCAUUUCAGAAUGAUUCAAUCAUCGAAAAUGUUUGAUAUAAAUUAGCCUUUGUGAUAAUACAUUUGUUGAACGAAUAAACCACAUGACUUUUACUUUGCCUUUGUUUCAAGAUUGUACUAAAGAGCGGUCUUUAUUAGAAAACCAAGGACUUGUACCGUAAGGUAUCGUUUCUAUUCUAAAAGGACUCGAAGUGAACAUUUCCCAGUUGAUCAAAACCUAGUUGUCCUUGGUAAGACGCCAAAGUUCGCUGCAAUCAAGAUGAGGCUUCUUUUUAACGUACUUUCCAGUUUCUAUGGCCAUUCUUCGCACAUAGAUCAUAUCUGACUGUCAAGUGUCAGUCAUCUAAAUGGGGUGCCCGUAAUCGUGAUCCACAUGCAGAAUGAGAAGACUAAAAAAAAUAUGCGUCGGAUAAUUUGACUUUAAUUCGUGUAUAGUGUGUUGCUAAAGUAGGCCAACCAUCCUGAUGUGUGAAUAGACCUUCAAUUCAAGCGACCACAAAAGUAUGUGAAUGCAUUCUUCCUGUAGAUACCAAUGACCUCAUCGUGUCAUUUUCAAAUCAAAUGCGCUAUAAUUCCCAUAUAUCAGACCCAUGUAAGGACUGGUACUGUUCAGCCUGCUUUACUGACAGUACUUUCAUUUUGACAAUAAGUUUGUAAAGGUGAGACCAGCCAUUCAUAAAAACUUUAAAUUUGCUCAAUAUCGUAAUAGGCAUAUCGCAAAAUCUGUAACGUGUUGUCAGAACUCUUUAUAGAAAUAUUUGACUAUCAUGAAGACGGGAUUAAUCACCUGCAGGCGCGCUGCUACCAUUUUGUGACAUGGGAUAAUAACACCACGGUUAUUUCGUCAAUGACGUGUUGGAUAUAAUUUCGGUUGAUGACUUCAAGACUUGUCAGUCAACCCUGACUGUUCAAGAUGGCGAACCUGAGUGUGUCUCGAGGUUCAAAUGAACCUCCUUUCGAAAUUACAUUGCUAACCAAAGAGGAUAUAUCACGUGACCGGAAGGCAAGAGAACGUGAUGGCGGCUGUUUUAACAAAGAUGGCGGCUGCUGUAGGAGACGGCCGUGUCCCAAAGCUUUCAACUAUUUCAAGGGAUACAAAGCUGUGAUAUUAUUCUCAUCCUUCUGCUGCUAUUUUAUACUCUGUGGAAUAACGUUGACUGUCGGGGUAUAUUUCAACGAAUGGAAGGAUGAUUUUGAGGCAGGAAGUGCUCUGACGUCAUGGCUUGGUUCCGUCCACAUCGGCGUGUUGCACGUUGUUGCUCCGCUGGUAGGGAUCCUGACAGACCGAUUCGGCUUCCGGCCCAUGGUGAUGAUAGGGAGCGUGAUACUGACAGCCAGCUUGGUCGCCACAUCUUUCGCCCAAAAUAUCUAUGCUGUCCUCGUCUCUUUCUCAAUAUUCGCAGCCGUAGGUGGUGGCUUUGUAUUCGUCCCAGCUUCAACAAUAGUCUCCUUGUAUUACGAAGAAGGUCGAGCAUUCUCAAACGGCUUCUCCACCUGCGGAUGCGGGUUCGGCCAGUUCAUCAUGCCUUUCAUCCUUCACGCUGGAAUAGACGCAUUUAACUGGCGAGGCUCGAUGUGGAUUUCCGCUGGCCUGGCAUUGCAGAUCUGUGUCCUUGGGGCGCUCAUGAGGGAACCCAAAAUCUGGCAGAAGAUAAAGAAGGAAAAGGCACGUAGGGUCAAAGAAGGGAACAAACUGGAACAGUGGGGAUUCCAUAUUUAUAAAAGUUUCGGUUUCGUUCUUCUUUUGCUGCAAUUAACAUUAGUAGCAGCUGGACUAUCCAUAGUCUACGUCCAUAUAAGCGCCAUCACGAUACAGGUUGGCAGGGUAACAGCACAUGAGGCGACUCUACCGCUCUCUCUGCUGGGGUUUUCGACAAUCGUUGGUCGACUUUCCGCAGGACUGAUUAGUCAGCACAGAAGGGUGGACACUUUCAUAUUUUACAUCUCCUGCUUCAUUGUAGCAGGGGUUGUUACUAUCCUAGUUCCUUUUAUCCAAUAUUAUGGAUUUAUAUGUUUCUGGGCAGUAGUAUUCGGGCUAAUGACAGCGCCGUCGGCGGCAUUAGUACAAAUCAUGGCGCUAUAUUUUGUGGAUGUAGCGGACUUGAAUGCAGCCUUUUCACACGCUGCUGUGUUCACAGCACUUGGAUACAUUAUAGGAGCACCAGUGGCAGGUUGGUUGUUCGACUUCACCAAAAGCUACAAUGGGUCCUUCUACCUCGGCGGAAGUAUGCUGGUUGUGAGCGGUCUGACUCUAAUCUGGCCCUACGUCAGACACCGGCUAGAGAAACGAACAGUGGCAAAGGUUGACCUGGGGGACGGCGUGGAGGCUGAGAGAUGGGGAACCCGCCCAAGUAUCGCCAGCGGAGUCUUGUUUGGCAGUGCCUUCUUCGAGAGCUAUGAGCCAGGCUCGAAAGAGAGGAGUUCUCCGUCGCUGUGAACCAGUCAGUUGUGUGACAAGGGGUGAGGUCGUCAAAUCUUAGAUAUAUAAUUAUCAUACCAUCAAGAGUAUCAAGAAAACUCUCCCUCGUUGUUAACGAGACGUGUGCACUGCCGUCAGAGGAUAGAAUAGAUGAUUGAAUCAAAAACGACUUGGAAAAUCCCGGAAGAACAUGCCAGUGAUUUGAAGAAGCUUUCGACAAAAAGUGAUUCGAAAGUGUGUUAUUAAACCCAGCAUUAAGACAUACAUUUUGGUAGCAGAGCUUUAUUUGAAAGACUCUGGUAGUCGUAACAAAAGGAACAAUGUGUUGAGACCAUCUAGAGUGUUUUCACGUGACGUCAUCACCGGCCAUGUUUGAGGGACAGACAAAAGAAAGCAAGCCAACUGACCAUGACACCAUUUUUGUUCAGUUAUUGUUCUGUCCUCCAACAUGGCUGACCGUGAAAACGCUCUUUUGUAAAUCAGACGAUUAAGCACACUCGUAGAAGUAAAGGUUUUAUAGUUUCUGAAAAACCAUGAAAUUAAGCUGGCGUAUGUUGUCAAGUUUAAGGCCAGUUUCUAUAACAGCGGCGGAAUUGGGAAAGCGUGAAUCUUGCACAGGCGUUGGCUCGUCGGUUAAUGAAUGACUCGGCAACUGACCAAAAAGGCAAGGAGACCGCCACCACGUAAAGCGAUGAAAAACAUGUAAUGAAAUGAGACUACAACCGCGAAACAUCAAAUUAACCUCUCGACGAAAUUGUCGUCCACUGAGGCAAUAAAAAAG
RNA transcript from Lineus longissimus, 3824 nucleotides. It is a transcript of the gene named monocarboxylate transporter 12-like, with no coding region annotated. The record is from RefSeq and is a predicted model, not a curated record. The transcript is spliced from 9 exons. NCBI's taxonomy places the organism in Eukaryota, Metazoa, Nemertea, Pilidiophora, Heteronemertea, Lineidae.